Molecule: ribosomal RNA, 465 nt
Filed under: Bacillus cereus
Lineage: Bacteria; Bacillati; Bacillota; Bacilli; Caryophanales; Bacillaceae
Description: bacterial SSU rRNA
Rfam family: Bacterial small subunit ribosomal RNA
Source: RNAcentral
GGCUCACCAAGGCAACGAUGCGUAGCCGACCUGAGAGGGUGAUCGGCCACACUGGGACUGAGACACGGCCCAGACUCCUACGGGAGGCAGCAGUAGGGAAUCUUCCGCAAUGGACGAAAGUCUGACGGAGCAACGCCGCGUGAGUGAUGAAGGCUUUCGGGUCGUAAAACUCUGUUGUUAGGGAAGAACAAGUGCUAGUUGAAUAAGCUGGCACCUUGACGGUACCUAACCAGAAAGCCACGGCUAACUACGUGCCAGCAGCCGCGGUAAUACGUAGGUGGCAAGCGUUAUCCGGAAUUAUUGGGCGUAAAGCGCGCGCAGGUGGUUUCUUAAGUCUGAUGUGAAAGCCCACGGCUCAACCGUGGAGGGUCAUUGGAAACUGGGAGACUUGAGUGCAGAAGAGGAAAGUGGAAUUCCAUGUGUAGCGGUGAAAUGCGUAGAGAUAUGGAGGAACACCAGUGGCGA